This 600-nucleotide ribosomal RNA is filed under the name uncultured bacterium. RNAcentral's name for it is "partial 16S ribosomal RNA". The stretch from base 1 to 326 matches the Rfam family "Bacterial small subunit ribosomal RNA", at positions 87 to 399 of the family's 1533-position model. The record is from RNAcentral.
CUUGAGAGCUGGCGUACGGGUGCGGAACACGUGUGUCACUGCUUUAUCUGGGGGAUAGCCUUUCGAAAGGAAGAUUAAAUACCCCAUAAUAUCGUUGAAUGGCAUCAUUCGACAUUGAAAACUCCGGUGGAUAGAGAUGGGCACGCGCAAGAUUCAGAUCAGUUGGUGACGGUCAACGGCUCACCAAGUCUACGAUCUUUAGGGGGCCUGACAGGGUGAUCCCCCACACUGGUCACUGAGACACGGACCAGACUCCUACGGGAGGCAGCAGUUGACGGAAUCAUCUUCGGACAAUGGGUCGACGAAGCCUUGAUCCAGCCAUCCCGGCGUGAACGGACUGACUUGGCCCUUNAAUUGGGAGUUCUCCUNCGGUCAAAAACCUUUNNCUUCCUGGGUCAUUAACGGGCGGAUCACAAACCCUUAACCGCCCACUUCCCGGUCGGAACGGGGGGGUACAAGACUUCGCAANAGGGUCAACCUNCAAUUCAACCGGGAAACUUCCAGAAGGCCAACCCGGGGCUUCAAGAGUUACCCGUAGGGCCCAAGGGCACAAGGGCCCCACGGCCAGGGGUUCCAAAUGAACACGNGGACAACAGGGGG